This 404-nucleotide ribosomal RNA is filed under the name Actinomycetes bacterium. RNAcentral describes it as "Actinobacteria bacterium partial 16S ribosomal RNA". It matches the Rfam family "Bacterial small subunit ribosomal RNA", at positions 355 to 776 of the family's 1533-position model. Lineage: Bacteria; Bacillati; Actinomycetota; Actinomycetes. The record is from RNAcentral.
UGGGGAAUAUUGGACAAUGGGCACAAGCCUGAUCCAGCCAUGUCGCGUGAGUGAUGAAGGCCCUAGGGUUGUAAAGCUCUUUCACCGGUGAAGAUAAUGACGGUAACCGGAGAAGAAGCCCCGGCUAACUUCGUGCCAGCAGCCGCGGUAAUACGAAGGGGGCUAGCGUUGUUCGGAUUUACUGGGCGUAAAGCGCACGUAGGCGGACCAUUAAGUCAGGGGUGAAAUCCCGGGGCUCAACCCCGGAACUGCCUUUGAUACUGGUAGUCUUGAGUUCGAGAGAGGUGAGUGGAAUUCCGAGUGUAGAGGUGAAAUUCGUAGAUAUUCGGAGGAACACCAGUGGCGAAGGCGGCUCACUGGCUCGAUACUGACGCUGAGGUGCGAAAGCGUGGGGAGCAAACAGG